RNAcentral lists this ribosomal RNA (258 nucleotides) under uncultured soil bacterium. RNAcentral describes it as "partial 16S ribosomal RNA". It matches the Rfam family "Bacterial small subunit ribosomal RNA", at positions 27 to 285 of the family's 1533-position model. The record is from RNAcentral.
GGGACGAACGCUGGCGGCGUGCUUAACACAUGCAAGUCGAGCGGUAAGGCCCUUUCGGGGGUACACGAGCGGCGAACGGGUGAGUAACACGUGGGUAACCUGCCCUCAGCUCUGGGAUAAGCCCGGGAAACUGGGUCUAAUACCGGAUAUGACUCCGCAUCGCAUGGUGUGGGGUGGAAAGCCUUGUGCGGCUGAGGAUGGGCCCGCGGCCUAUCAGCUUGUUGGUGGGGUAGUGGCCUACCAAGGCGACGACGGGUA